Molecule: long non-coding RNA, 4518 nt
Organism: Sapajus apella (tufted capuchin)
Lineage: Eukaryota; Metazoa; Chordata; Mammalia; Primates; Cebidae
Exons: 2
Source: RefSeq, a predicted model, not a curated record
CCCGGCCGCCAUGCAUAAUUUUUUAAAAUGUUUGCGUAAUUAAAUUUUUCUGUUGUUUCUUUUGCAGCUUCUGGGAUUUCUGGUUUCCUUAGAAAGGUCUUAUUCACUACAAGAUUAUUUUUAAAAACCUAGAAUUUCUUCUACCAUGUGAAUGAUUUCAUUUUUAUUUUGAAAUGUUUGAUCCUUCCAGAACUUAUCCUGGUGUGAGGUGUGGCUCCAAUAUAAUUAUUUUCAAGGUGGCUACCCUUUGUCCAACACUAUUUAUUAAGCAAUCUAUCUUUAUCCCAUUAUUCAAAUGCCACCUUUUUCACCAACUAAAUUUCCUGGAUAUAUUUAGGCAUAUGUCCAGUCUUUUGUGUUCUGCUAAUGAUCCUGAACACGUCCCAUCAGCAGACUACAGCUUUGUACCGUGUUUUGCUGUGGGCAGUGGCGCGGUGCUCAUACCCCAGUAUUACUUGUUUUCAUACUUUUCUUGGCUAUUAUAGCUGGUUCAGUUUUCCAAAUGAACUUUAGAAUGCUUGUUUAAUUCCAAAUAUAAACAUCUUAUUAUUUUUAUUGUGUAUCUGUUAAGUUUAUAGGUAAUUUAGGGAAAAUUGACAUGUUUGUGGUGCUGAGCUUUCCAGUGCAAGUUCAUUUAUUCAAGUCUUUUAAGCCCAAAAGAGCAUUAUAAAAGUUUCUUACCUCCUUUUCAUGAUUGUGAAUUCCCUGGGAGCAAGAAUGGAGUCAGGUUUUCAGUAUGGCUUAUUAGUAAUGAUCUGUGUAAUUACUGACAAACAUAAUUUUUAUUAAAUAUUUUUAGAACCCAUUUUCUUCUAACAUAAUUGCUUGCCAUUUUGUGUGGUGUUUUCUGCACAUCAAAGAAAGGCAAGAUGUGGUACAAAUGCUGAUGUCAAAAGUCAGCAUUUUAAUUCUUACAGUCAUCUCUUGAUCAGUGUGUUCUUUAUUUUUAAUAAAAAGUUGUAUUUACUUAGAAGCAUUUCGAAUGUCAGCAAAACAGCUGCAGCUUUUUUUUUUUUUUUUUGCAAUUACAGAGUGGUAUUCAGUUAAGAGAAAAACAAUUAUUUUGUAUAAGCUGCAUUGGAGACAACUGAAGAUGAAAAACUACCAUCCCCAUAGAUAAUUAAUUUGUGCCGUGCACCAACAAGAACCUGCUUUAAAUUUCCAUGCCAAUUUACAAUGCCUAUACUGUACUAGGCAAGGUUAGUGGCUAUUGAAAAUACCAUCAGGACAGGGAUAUCUGAAGACACAUUCGGUAGUGUGUUAACUAUACAAAAAAGACCCUGUACCAUUUAAAAACAACUUAUACAGCCUUACAUUUCAAUUUUUUCCUUUAAAAGGAGUGAGUUAUGUACAAGGGGGUUAAAUGCUUUAUAGACAAGAAAAAAAGCUACACUAGAACCAACUUAUUCAUCAUCAUCAUCUUAUCUUCCUCCUCCCUCCUCAUCUUCAUCCUCAUCUUCCUCCUCUUCCUUCUUUUUCUUGCAUUUUUCAGCCUUGAAAACUCCCUUUUUUGCUGCAGCAGGCUUUCCUUUAGCUCAAUAUGCAGCAAUAUUCUUUUCAUAUUUUUCCUUCAGCUCACAGCCUUUUCUUUUCAUAAGGCUGCUUGUCAUCUGCGGCAGUGUUACAUCACCAGUGGACAGGCCAGGAUGUUCUCCUUUGAUUUUUGGGCGAUAUCAGGAAGAAGGCCGAAGGAGCCCUCUUGGGUGCAUUGGGAUCCUUGAACUUCUUUUUCUGUCUCCUCUUUAGGAAAGGUAUAGGUUUUCAUUUCUCUUUCAUAACGGGCCUUCUCCGCCUUUCCCAUAUCUUCACAUUUUCCUUUCUCUUUAGCAGACGUGGUCUUCCACCUCUCUGAUCUCUUCUUAGAAAACUUUGAGGCAUUGACUGAAGCAUCUGGGUAUUGCUUCUUAUGCUCCUCCCGACAAGUUUGCACAAAAAAAUGCAUAUAAUGACAUUUUCCCUCUUGGCUUCUUAAGGUCUCCCUUGCCCAUGUUCUUUCUCCUCAGUGAGGCAGAGUCACCCAGUGCCCAUCUGGCCCUCACUUGCCCCGGUGCUGUCUCUGUGGAGCUCAGUGUACUGCAAUGGCUGUGAGAGCGGAAGCCAGGUGCAGCGUCCUCACUCUCUCUGCUCUCGCUCCAGACAGCACAGCUCCUGUUCAAUUAGCGUGUUCUUAAAAGAGCAUUCCGUGUAGAUAAUCCAGAGGCUUCACAUUUAGACAUUUGACUUUUCCCCCACUAGGAAUAGUGACAAAUAUAAUGUGAUUUUCCAGCUGUGACUUUCCCUCCCCCAUAACCCUGGCACAGAUUUUGAGGUAGCCUUAGGCUGAGAAGUAGCCAAAAGGCAAUACUGGGUUGGGGAAAGAGCAGACCGUUGGCAUCUAUUUGUGUGUCCUCCAGACAGAGAGAGGUGACCAGGCAGAUGGGGACAAGGCACGGGCGUUCUGUGUGCUGAGCGUCAGCGUGCAUCCUGUUUGGUCAGCGUGGAGUGAGUCUGGGAGCUUUGCACUUAGCACUUUGGCAGCUCAGGUCUGGGAACGGUGAUGCCUUCUCCUAAAGUUGGGUCACUAACAUUUGGCUGUUUGCAGGAUUAGUUCUCUAAUGAUGACAUUUGUCAGAUGGCACCCAGGAGCUUCUUAGUAAACUACCCCCCCACUUAAAGCAUGGUGUCAAAACCGGGCUGAAAUGCGACCUGAGGAGAGAGGACUGUGCUUUAGUCUGUGUAGGGAGUGGCAGUCCUGCAUGCUGUUUGUGGAACAGGAAGAUAGUGGGAUCAGCUGCAUUUAACAUGUGGAUACAGCUCUGAGAGGUGUUAACUGGUUUUCUUUAAACUUUAGAAAGGCACAUUUAUUUUUCCUUUGAGCAAAAAAGUACAGUUUCUUUUUAAGUGGUUGUAUUGUAACUUAUGGGCCUGUUCUCCUAACAUUUAUGUUUUAUAGCUUGCAUGAUAUGCACAAAAGGUCAUAGAUGUGCCAGCUUGGCCCAGUGGCCUCCGUCCUGUAUUUGGAAACCAGUUACAGGAACGGAAGAGGAUUGCUCUUUUGUGUCCUCAGGCCACUUUUGGUCAUUUCAGGCAGAAUCAGUCUCUGCAUUGGAAUUUUCCUCUGCAAAUCCUGCAAUUCAGGAAUAGAGCAUUUAGCAACAACAGUGAAAAUGUGAUGUGUGACAGCUGUGGAGAAGAAUUUGCCUCCAGUGAGAGGAAAAUGCUGUGUUCAAAGCGGAUUUCUGAUGAGCCUAUUAAUGGGUGUUUGGGAAGCUGAAUAUGCCGUCGCCAUUUUGAGAUAAAAGGUCCAAGGUGUUUGUUCCUGAAGCUAAUGAGGAAGCCGGUGUCCGGCUUCAGGCUUGCCUCCCAGCAGGACUGGUGAGAUUGCAUGCAGGGUCUACACCACAUCUGGCCUUCCUGAAAAGAAGGGGCUUCCAGUGGGGGUGGUGUCCUAGUGGAGAAGGGUGAGGCCCCGUGGGGUGGGCUCACGAAAGACCUGCUGUCCAUCUGCUGGCUUCAGGUCAGCCAGGCUGGGGGUUAAACAGAGAGGCCAGAAAGGAAACCAGAGGUGCCUGUGGUGGCAGCAGCAGCAGCCCUGGCUUCCAGGCCUGUGAAGCGCGGAGGCUCUGGCAGCUCAGGAUCUGGGAUAGGAACUGACAAAAUGUUCUCCUAAACUCUGGCCCUUCCUGGCUGUCCUGCCUUCCCUGUGUGCACACACAUGCCUGCACAUAUGCACACACAGGAGGCCCAGAGCUCAGUUUUCAGACUCAUGGAGCUGACACAAAGCCUCACUCCCAGAGUUUCCCUCACCACUGAUACCUGUCCUUACCCAUGAAAGUAGGGUAAAAAUGUGUCCCCAAAUCAGACACCUGUCACUUUUCUAGAAGCACUUCCAUUCUCUCUUGCUCUUGCUGUCAUCACUCUCCUGGAUCUCAUUAUCUUUGGGGAGAUAUUCAGUAUGAUUUUAUUAAUAUUCUAGCUUCAUCUUAGAAAUGAUCAAAUGUGAAUAUUCAAAUUAAUUAGCCCCUAGAUAUAUCUUCUGCAGAAAAAAACUCCAGUAACAAGAAGUCAGUUAUAGUUGUGAAAAACAUGUAGAAUGAAAGCCGUGGUUUUUUGUCAAAGACAUGUGAAGACCGAAGUAGAGAAGCUCCAACAAAUUCAGUUAUCAAUUUGAAGAAACAUUAUUUAACAUAGACUAUGUUGACAGUUGAUCAGAGAGGAGAAAAUAGGUACAAAGCUGUUAUUUUAACUUCUGGUUGGGGAGUUGAUGAGGCUUGAGUGUGAUAAAGUAAGGAAAGCUUUGGACUGAAUCAGAGACCUGUCCUAUAAUCCUAGCUUUUUUUUUUUUUUUGUCCUCAUCUUUAAAAUGGGGAUGAUACCAUUGCUCAGAAUUGGGAAGAUGAAGGUAGAAGAAGUUCCAGGCAGGACGACUCACUUCUAUAAUCCCAGCACUCUGGGAGGCUGAGAUGGGUGACUGCUUGAGCCCAGGAGUUCAAGACCAACCCUGGCAGCAUAGCAAGACCCUAUCUCUACAGAAAAAAA